Molecule: ribosomal RNA, 207 nt
Filed under: uncultured bacterium
Lineage: Bacteria
Description: partial 16S ribosomal RNA
Rfam family: Bacterial small subunit ribosomal RNA
Source: RNAcentral
CGCGUAGGCGGCCUUCUAAGUCAGACGUGAAAUCCCCGGGCUCAACCCGGGAACUGCGUCUGAUACUGGAAGGCUCGAAUCCGGGAGAGGGAUGUGGAAUUCCAGGUGUAGCGGUGAAAUGCGUAGAUAUCUGGAGGAACACCGGUGGCGAAGGCGGCAUCCUGGACCGGUAUUGACGCUGAGGCGCGAAAGCCAGGGGAGCAAACG